Molecule: ribosomal RNA, 1572 nt
Filed under: Triticum aestivum (bread wheat)
Lineage: Eukaryota; Viridiplantae; Streptophyta; Magnoliopsida; Poales; Poaceae
Description: partial small subunit ribosomal RNA
Source: RNAcentral
AUGGCGACGAGCGUGACGGGAUCGCCGGUUCCUUCUCCACGGGAGGUACUGUACGCGGUCGCGGCCGCGGCCAUCGCGUGGUGCGCCGUGCGGGCGCUGGAGUGGGCGUGGUGGAGGCCCCGCCGCCUGGACCGGGCGCUGCGGUCGCAGGGCCUCCGCGGCACGGCGUACCGGCCGGUGGCCGGCGACGUGCAGCUGAGCCAGCGGCUCAACAAGGAGGCGAGGUCCCGGACCAUGCCGCAGGGCUGCCACGACGUCGUGCCGCGGGCGAUGCCGCUCCUCCACCAGGCCGCCAAGGAGCACGGUAAAAUGUCCUUCACCUGGCUUGGACCGGUGCCUAGAGUGACCAUCACCAAGCCUGAGCUGGUGCGCGAAGUUCUGUCCAACAAGUCCGGCCACUCAGAGAAGCUCAACCUCGGCCGACUCCAGAGGAUGCUUCACAACGGCGUGGGUGGCCACGAGGGCGAGAAGUGGGCAAAGCACAGGAGGAUCAUCAACCCCGCCUUCCAUCUGGAAAAGCUCAAGCGCAUGCUGCCGGCUUUCGCCGCGUGUAGCACGGAGCUGGUAUGCCGAUGGGAAGGUUUAGCCGCAGGGGAUGCCCCGUGCGAGGUGGAUGUUUGGCCCGAGAUGCAGAGCCUGACGGGAGACGUCAUCUCCCGCGCCGCGUUCGGCAGCAGCUACCUCGAAGGAAGGAGGAUCUUCCAGCUUCAGCGGGAGCAGAUCGAGCUCGCCAUGUUUGCCAUGAGCAAGAUGCACAUUCCUGGUUACUUGUUCUUGCCUACCAAAGCCAACCGAAGGAUGAGGCAGAUCGCCGCGGAGAUCGGGAGGAUCCUGAAAGGCAUCAUCGUCAAGAGGGAGAACGCCCUGAGAGCCGGCGAAGCCACGAGCGACGACCUUCUCGGGCUGCUGCUGGAGUCGAACAUGGCGCACGGCAGGGGAGAUGGCAUCACGACCGACGACGUGGUCGGGGAGUGCAAGCUGUUCUACUUUGCUGGCAUGGAGACCACGGCGGUGCUGCUCACGUGGACGAUGGUCGUGCUCUGCAUGCACCCGGAGUGGCAGGACCGUGCUAGGGAGGAGGUCACGCAGGUCUUCUCCGCCGGCACUACUCCAGAUUACGAUGGCUUAGGGCGCCUGAAAACCGUGACCAUGGUGCUUUACGAGGUGCUGCGGUUGUACACGCCGCUGACGGCGCUCCAGCGCAAGACGUGCAAGCCGAUGGACCUCGGGGGCGUCAGGUACCCGGCGGGCGUGGUUCUCAUGCUGCCGCUGCUGUGCGUCCACCACGACAAGGAGGUCUGGGGCGCGGAUGCCGACGAGUUCAGGCCCGAGAGGUUCGCCGAGGGGAUCUCCAAGGCGUCGGCGGAUGCGCCGGCGUUCUUCCCGUUCGGGUGGGGCCCGCGGACUUGCGUCGGCCAGAGCUUCGCGCUGCUCGAGGCCAAGAUGGGGCUCGCCAUGAUCCUGCGGCGCUUCUCCUUGGAGCUCUCGCCGUCCUACGCGCACGCGCCCUUCCCCGUCGGCAUGCUGCAGCCAGAGCACGGCGCGCAAAUCAGGCUCAAGAGGCUCCACUGA